RNAcentral lists this ribosomal RNA (239 nucleotides) under uncultured bacterium. Its description in RNAcentral is "partial 16S ribosomal RNA". It matches the Rfam family "Bacterial small subunit ribosomal RNA", at positions 92 to 334 of the family's 1533-position model. The record is from RNAcentral.
CGAGUGGCGGACGGGUGAGUAAUGUCUGGGAAACUGCCUGAUGGAGGGGGAUAACUACUGGAAACGGUAGCUAAUACCGCAUAACGUCGCAAGACCAAAGAGGGGGACCUUAGGGCCUCUUGCCAUCGGAUGUGCCCAGGUGGGAUUAGCUUGUUGGUGGGGUAACGGCUCACCAAGGCGACGAUCCCUAGCUGGUCUGAGAGGAUGACCAGCCACACUGGAACUGAGACACGGUCCAA